RNAcentral lists this non-coding RNA (176 nucleotides) under unclassified sequences. RNAcentral describes it as "RT-2 RNA". It matches the Rfam family "RT-2 RNA", at positions 40 to 211 of the family's 222-position model. Rfam says of the family: Coriobacteriales (Actinobacteria), Clostridiales (Firmicutes). Downstream gene The record is from Rfam by way of RNAcentral.
GUGGGCUUGCCCACAAAUAUCAGCCUUGAUAUGUCCAGGUGGACGCUGCUUGCAUGGGUGCCGGACUGCGUUAGGUGCUUUCAUACCUGUAGACAUUAUGUGGCAUAGUACGCAAAACGCCGAAAGUGAGAUUAUAUAUCUAUCAUUCGGGGUAUGCCAUACAAGGCGUUUUUUAA